UCGAUUAGACCAUGCGAGUCGAGAGUCUUAGGGACUCGGCAUACUGCUCAGUAACACGUGGAUAACCUGCCCUGUACUGGAGAAUAACCUCGGGAAACUGAGAAUAAUACUCCAUAGACCACAAUGCCUGGAACGGUUUGUGGUUCAAAGCUCCGGCGGUACAGGAUGGGUCUGCGGCGUAUCAGGUUGUAGGGGGUGUAAAGGACCUCCUAGCCAUUGACGCGUACGGGUUGUGGGAGCAAUAGCCCGGAGAUGGAUUCUGAGACACGAAUCCAGACCCUACGGGGUGCAGCAGGCGCGAAAACUUCACACUGCGGGAAACCGUGAUGAGGGAACUCCAAGUGUUAGCACAAUGUGCUAUCUUUUCUUGACUUUUAAUAGGUCUUGGAAUAAGGGGCGGGAAAGACCGGUGCCAGCCGCCGCGGUAAUACCGGCGCCUCAAGUGGUAGUCGCUUUUAUUGGGCCUAAAACGUCCGUAGCCGGUCUGAUACAUUCGUGGGUAAAUCAACCAGCUUAACUGGUUGAAUUCUGCGAGGACGGUCAGACUUGGGACCGGGAGAGGUGUGGGGUACGCUCAGGGUAGGGGUAAAAUCCUGUCAUCCUGAGCGGACCACCUGUUGCGAAGGCGCCACACUAGAACGGAUCCGACGGUCAGGGACGAAGCCUAGGGGCACGAACCGGAUUAGAUACCCGGGUAGUCCUAGGUGUAAACGCUGUGGACUUGAUGUUGGGGGUGCUCCGAGCACUCUCAGUGUCGAAGCGAAGGUGAUAAGUCCACUGCCUGGGAAGUACGGUCGCAAGGCUGAAACUUAAAGGAAUUGGCGGGGGAGCACCGCAACCUGAGGAUUGUGCGGUUUAAUUGGAUUCAACGCCGGAAAACUCACCAUAGCCGACGGACAAAUGAAGGUCAGUGUAAUGAACUUACCGGAUUGUUCGAGAGGUAGUGCAUGGCCGCCGUCAGUUCGUACCGCAAGGCGUUCUGUUAAGUCAGAUAACGAACGAGACCCUCAUCUCUAU
This 1017-nucleotide ribosomal RNA is filed under the name uncultured archaeon. Its description in RNAcentral is "bacterial SSU rRNA". It matches the Rfam family "Archaeal small subunit ribosomal RNA", at positions 40 to 1063 of the family's 1478-position model. The record is from RNAcentral.